This 86-nucleotide transfer RNA is filed under the name Acidithiobacillus ferrivorans. RNAcentral describes it as "tRNA-Leu". It matches the Rfam family "tRNA". Rfam says of the family: Transfer RNA (tRNA) molecules are approximately 80 nucleotides in length. RNAcentral also lists the same sequence under 2 other names. Lineage: Bacteria; Pseudomonadati; Pseudomonadota; Acidithiobacillia; Acidithiobacillales; Acidithiobacillaceae. The record is from RNAcentral.
GCGAGAGUGGCGGAAUUGGUAGACGCACUGGAUUUAGGUUCCAGCAUCCAAGUGAUGUGGGGGUUCGAGUCCCCCCUUUCGCACCA